CAGACUUGACAUCCUGGGAACCUCUUAGAAAUAAGAGGGUGCCUUCGGGAGCACAGAGAC
Molecule: ribosomal RNA, 60 nt
Filed under: uncultured bacterium
Lineage: Bacteria
Description: partial 16S ribosomal RNA
Source: RNAcentral